CCGCUCCUCGCCUUGUUAAUGCCCAUCAUACUCCCGCCCUGGCUGCACCAUGAGGAGAAACUGCCACGAACUCACCCAGGACAUUACACCCGCCCCGUGAAUUGUUGAUUCAACCCCAGAGAGAGAAUUGCCAGAUGACUUGGAAUAAGAGUACCAAUUUUAAUACUCUUUACGGAACAAACAACUACAGUGAUGAUUGAUCUUUUUAUCCAUAAGUCAGUAACAGACACACAUGGAAACGAAAUUAUUUAUUAUACCGGAAAAUCACGUUCAGUGAAUACUGUAUGGGAUCAAUCUUCUGUUCUGUUGAAAAGGUUGAUUCAACCCCAGAGAGAGAAUUGCCAGAUGACUUGGAAUAAGAGUACCAAUUUUAAUACUCUUUACGGAACAAACAACUACAGUGAUGAUUGAUCUUUUUAUCCAUAAGUCAGUAACAGACACACAUGGAAACGAAAUUAUUUAUUAUACCGGAAAAUCACGUUCAGUGAAUACUGUAUGGGAUCAAUCUUCUGUUCUGUUGAAAAGUACUGAAAUUCCCAGACCUUACUUUCAAUAACCCUAAAGUUCAGCUGACUAUUCGUACGUUGGUGCACAUUUGUGAACGGAUAACCCUGUAGGUGUUCCUCUGUGGUCUUCUAAGGAGCUCAAGAUGGAUCACUAAAGAUCACCUGGUGCUUUAAUUCCAGAUUUAUCAACGAUGCCACUUGUAUAAUCCAAUUUUUUAUUAUACCCGAGGUCGUUACCUCUCUUGUCUAUGGAUAUUAGUAUUAAUUAAUGUGUCACUUAA
This is a long non-coding RNA of Pseudophryne corroboree (corroboree frog), 787 nucleotides long. RefSeq lists it as uncharacterized. The transcript has 4 exons. NCBI's taxonomy places the organism in Eukaryota, Metazoa, Chordata, Amphibia, Anura, Myobatrachidae. The record is from RefSeq and is a predicted model, not a curated record.